Long non-coding RNA from Musa acuminata AAA Group (dessert banana), 997 nucleotides. RefSeq lists it as uncharacterized. The record is from RefSeq and is a predicted model, not a curated record. The transcript is spliced from 3 exons. Lineage: Eukaryota; Viridiplantae; Streptophyta; Magnoliopsida; Zingiberales; Musaceae.
AAUGCUUGACACACUUUUUAACCCGAGCUGUCUUUUUGCAUCUUGUCAUUCUUCAUAUAUGACAAAUAUUAUUUAUAGGAGAACUUGAUUUCUUAUGAAAGGCUUUUGGACAUCCACCAGAGUUAUUUCAUUCCACGUGAUGUAUAAGCUGCUUAGCACCUUUUGUGAAAUGUAGGAUUUUUCUUUUUACUGUCAUAAACUACAUUUCUUUACAUUCAUGUCAUGUGCACUUGUGCACUAUUUAAAAACAUUUUGAAAGGCAGAAAUUAGACCAAACUCAAUCUGAAUGUUGGAUUUACUCUCUUGGUUCACAUGGGUCUCCUCUUAAGGAAUUGCCAAGUGAUAUGCAGAAACUGGACUUAGAAGUCUCCCUACUUUCAAGGUAUGUGGACGAUGAUGUUUUUGGUGGGUUGCCUUCUUUAGGUUUAUGGUUCUCCAAAGUAAUUGUAUGGUUACAAGUGAAAACUAUGUAGGUAUGACCUUGAUAUUGCAUUUGGUGUUGGCGCCAACCCCAUGUUGCCGUCAUGAUGGCCUUAUUAAGUUUGAAGUCUGACAUGUCUACUGUGAAUUAGUUGCACAAUCAACAAUAGAAGUUUAAAAUUCCUGGGAAACUUUUGAGAGCUGCAAAUUUUAAAGAACUUCAUUUUGUUGAGUAAAUUUGUGAUUCAAAACACAUUUGCGCAGCAACAAUGUGUCUUUUCUUUUUUGUCUUCGGAUUUUUUAUCACUGGUUAGCUAUUGACCUUAUUUUUAGUUCUUUCACAAUGGCUAUGCAUUUCAAAUAGUUAAUUAGGAUUCUUGUUGUUUGUCUGUAGGUUUCCUUAUUUUGAUCCAUUUCAAUAGUUCUUCCCUUCCUAGAAACACCAGCUCUACAUUUCUUCCCACUUGAAUGAUAAUUCUCCUAUUCGGGCUUCUUUACCAAGCCGGUCAUUCAGCAAAUCAGCUUCUAAGUCUGGGAUAUCAAGAUGCCUUCUCUUUUGUGAUCAUUUAAGAACUUU